UUCGCCCUUCGGUGUGUACAAGGCCCGGGAACGUAUUCACCGCAGCGUUGCUGAUCUGCGAUUACUAGCGACUCCGACUUCAUGGGGUCGAGUUGCAGACCCCAAUCCGAACUGAGACCGGCUUUUUGGGAUUCGCUCCACCUCGCGGUAUCGCAGCCCUUUGUACCGGCCAUUGUAGCAUGCGUGAAGCCCAAGACAUAAGGGGCAUGAUGAUUUGACGUCAUCCCCACCUUCCUCCGAGUUGACCCCGGCAGUCUCCCAUGAGUCCCCGGCAUAACCCGCUGGCAACAUGGGACGAGGGUUGCGCUCGUUGCGGGACUUAACCCAACAUCUCACGACACGAGCUGACGACAACCAUGCACCACCUGUACACNGACCNUGCGGGGAGCACAUNUCUGNA
RNAcentral lists this ribosomal RNA (400 nucleotides) under uncultured Cellulomonas sp. Its description in RNAcentral is "partial 16S ribosomal RNA". Lineage: Bacteria; Bacillati; Actinomycetota; Actinomycetes; Micrococcales; Cellulomonadaceae. The record is from RNAcentral.